UUUAUCCAAGACUGCUCCCAAAGAUGACAGGAACCCACAGCUGCAAUUGCAGAGAGAGUCCUUGAGCAUGCGCGAAGCAACUGGAAUAUUCUGGAAAUGCAACUGGGAAAAUUCAGGAGUUCACAGCUGAGCAUGUGCAAAGCGCAGCAAGUCAAAGAUGCUGUCUGCUCAGGUCUGCAGCAGUUUUUGGUUACCCUUGGCUUUGCACCCACCUGCUUGAGCUGCUAUUCAGCAUCAGCUUCCAGAGACGGUUGCUUACGCAAUGUCCUGUGGGCCAAAAACCUCAGCAAGGGCAGCAUGUUUUCCUGGCAAGUCAUAUCCUCCCCCUUCAGGUGAUGAACCUGAAGGUCUCACAGUAAGUCAGCUUUUGUCAGGCUUUACAUUUGUAGCAACUGAAUUUUUCUUUAUCCUUC
This is a long non-coding RNA of Neopsephotus bourkii (Bourke's parrot), 413 nucleotides long. RefSeq lists it as uncharacterized. Lineage: Eukaryota; Metazoa; Chordata; Aves; Psittaciformes; Psittacidae. The transcript has 3 exons. The record is from RefSeq and is a predicted model, not a curated record.